UACGGAGGAUCCAAGCGUUAUCCGGAUUUAUUGGGUUUAAAGGGUGCGUAGGCGGUUUGAUAAGUUAGAGGUGAAAUACCGGUGCUUAACACCGGAACUGCCUCUAAUACUGUUGAACUAGAGAGUAGUUGCGGUAGGCGGAAUGUAUGGUGUAGCGGUGAAAUGCUUAGAGAUCAUACAGAACACCGAUUGCGAAGGCAGCUUACCAAACUAUAUCUGACGUUGAGGCACGAAAGCGUGGGGAGCAA
Molecule: ribosomal RNA, 248 nt
Filed under: uncultured Alistipes sp.
Lineage: Bacteria; Pseudomonadati; Bacteroidota; Bacteroidia; Bacteroidales; Rikenellaceae
Description: partial 16S ribosomal RNA
Rfam family: Bacterial small subunit ribosomal RNA
Source: RNAcentral